Molecule: long non-coding RNA, 586 nt
Filed under: Zostera marina
Lineage: Eukaryota; Viridiplantae; Streptophyta; Magnoliopsida; Alismatales; Zosteraceae
Description: long non-coding RNA (ZMAR_LNC001297)
Source: RNAcentral
GUAAAAGGAAAAGACUGCUUAGGAACACACGAACAGACUGCAAAGCAUUCAUUAUUUUCAAAAAAGUAGAAAAUAUAUGGGUAGUUACAACAUUCAAUCAUGAACACAAUCAUGAUUUGGCGACUCCGUCGAAAAAAAGACUUCUUGCAGUAAACAGAAAAAUUGAACCAUUCAUACGUAAUAUCAUCCAUGAUCUUGAAGAUUCAAAUAUAACGUCAAAUCAACAAUUUUCUUACACUACAAAAAAAGGACCUUGUAUGGAGGUCUUUAGAUAUCCGCCAUCUAAAGUGAUAGUCGGCGGAAAUUCGUUAUCUAAAGACCGCCAUCUAGGAAACCGUCAUUAAAACCCCAUAACCGCCAUCCAAAGACCGCUAUCUAUUAUCCAUCCCCAUUUCUCACCAAAAAUUGUAUAGAUCGCCAUCUAAUCUGAAAUUUUUUGCGGGAACUGAAAAUUUUUAGAUGGCGGAAAUCCGUCAUCUAAAAUAUGACGCGGAAAAAGUUUGGCGUCAAUUCAUUGAUGACGGUUAAUUUUAUUGAUGGCGGAUGUCCGCCGACUAUCUUUGUAACAUUAGAUGACGGAUUUCCG